AUUGAACGCUGGCGGCAGGCCUAACACAUGCAAGUCGAGCGGAUGCAGGAAGCUUGCUCCUGGAUUCCGCGGCGGACGGGUGCGUAAUGCCUAGGAAUCUGCCUGGUAGUGGGGGAUGACGUCCGGAACCGGGCGUUAAUACCGCAUACGUCCUGAGGGGGAAAGUGGGGGAUCUUCGGACCUCACGCUAUCAGCUUAGCCUAGGUCGGAUUAGCUAGUUGGUGGGGUAAAGGCCUACCAAGGCGACGAUCCGUAACUGGUCUGAGAGGAUGAUCAGUCACACUGGAACUGAGACACGGUCCAGACUCCUACGGGAGGCAGCAGUGGGGAAUAUUGGACAAUGGGCGAAAGCCUGAUCCAGCCAUGCCGCGUGUGUGAAGAAGGUCUUCGGAUUGUAAAGCACUUUAAGUUGGGAGGAAGGGCAGUAAGUUAAUACCUUGCUGUUUUGACGUUACCAACAGAAUAAGCACCGGCUAACUUCGUG
This 484-nucleotide ribosomal RNA is filed under the name uncultured bacterium. RNAcentral's name for it is "partial 16S ribosomal RNA". It matches the Rfam family "Bacterial small subunit ribosomal RNA", at positions 30 to 507 of the family's 1533-position model. The record is from RNAcentral.